GAAUUCAAGACCUACUUUUCUACCAACAGCA
RNAcentral lists this small nucleolar RNA (31 nucleotides) under Sus scrofa (pig). RNAcentral describes it as "partial ssc-mir-1839". The record is from RNAcentral. Lineage: Eukaryota; Metazoa; Chordata; Mammalia; Artiodactyla; Suidae.